UACGGGGGGGGCAAGCGUUGUUCGGAAUUACUGGGCGUAAAGGGCUCGUAGGCGGCCAACUAAGUCGGACGUGAAAUCCCCAGGCUUAACCUGGGAACUGCGUCGGAUACUGGAUGGCUUGAAUCCGGGAGAGGGAUGCGGAAUUCCAGGUGUAGCGGUGAAAUGCGUAGAUAUCUGGAGGAACACCGGUGGCGAAGGCGGCAUCCUGGACCGGCAUUGACGCUGAGGAGCGAAAGCCAGGGGAGCAAACGGG
This 253-nucleotide ribosomal RNA is filed under the name uncultured bacterium. Its description in RNAcentral is "partial 16S ribosomal RNA". It matches the Rfam family "Bacterial small subunit ribosomal RNA", at positions 524 to 776 of the family's 1533-position model. The record is from RNAcentral.